AUGAACGCUGGCGGCGUGCCUAAUACAUGCAAGUCGAGCGAACAGACGAGGAGCUUGCUCCUCUGACGUUAGCGGCGGACGGGUGAGUAACACGUGGAUAACCUACCUAUAAGACUGGGAUAACUUCGGGAAACCGGAGCUAAUACCGGAUAAUAUAUUGAACCGCAUGGUUCAAUAGUGAAAGACGGUUUUGCUGUCACUUAUAGAUGGAUCCGCGCCGCAUUAGCUAGUUGGUAAGGUAACGGCUUACCAAGGCAACGAUGCGUAGCCGACCUGACAGGGUGAUCGGCCACACUGGAACUGAGACACGGUCCAGACUCCUACGGGAGGCAGCAGUAGGGAAUCUUCCGCAAUGGGCGAAAGCCUGACGGAGCAACGCCGCGUGAGUGAUGAAGGUCUUCGGAUCGUAAAACUCUGUUAUUAGGGAAGAACAAAUGUGUAAGUAACUAUGCACGUCUUGACGGUACCUAAUCAGAAAGCCACGGCUAACUACGUG
RNAcentral lists this ribosomal RNA (496 nucleotides) under uncultured bacterium. Its description in RNAcentral is "partial 16S ribosomal RNA". It matches the Rfam family "Bacterial small subunit ribosomal RNA", at positions 29 to 507 of the family's 1533-position model. The record is from RNAcentral.